CCUGGCUCAGGAUGAACGCUGGCGGCGUGCCUAAUACAUGCNAGUCGAACGAAUCUUCUUCGGAAGAUGAGUGGCGAACGGGUGAGUAAUACAUAGGUAACCUGCCCCUGUGCGGGGGAUAACAGGAGGAAACUCCUGCUAAUACCGCAUAGCCAUGAGCACCGCAUGGAGCUCAUGCCAAAUAUCCUUUAUGGGAUAGCGCAGGGAUGGACCUAUGGCGCAUUAGCUUGUUGGCGGGGCAACGGCCCACCAAGGCAACGAUGCGUAGCCGGCCUGAGAGGGCGGACGGCCACAUUGGGACUGAGACACGGCCCAGACUCCUACGGGAGGCAGCAGUAGGGAAUUUUCGGCAAUGGGGGAAACCCUG
Molecule: ribosomal RNA, 367 nt
Filed under: uncultured Catenibacterium sp.
Lineage: Bacteria; Bacillati; Bacillota; Erysipelotrichia; Erysipelotrichales; Coprobacillaceae
Description: bacterial SSU rRNA
Rfam family: Bacterial small subunit ribosomal RNA
Source: RNAcentral